GUAUUAUACGCUAGUGGUAUUAAACUGGAACAAUUAAAUACUAAAGUAACCUAUUGUCAUCAGAUACACCGUAUUCCAUCUGAAGAAGAAGUUAAGAGUCUCUGAAACUGACACGGACAUAUGAGACAAGUCAUAAAAAUGCAGAAAGCAAGAGAUAUAUCUAAGGAUAGACACAUAAAAUUAUAAAGAAUUUUGUCACUCUGUUCUUUUAGCAUACCACCAUUGUCCAAUCUAAACAACCCCGAAAUCAAGCGGUUCUGGCAAAUAAAGAUAAAUAGAUUGAUGAGCACGUACUAAAUUGAACUAUAAUGCUUGAUACAUAAAGACCAAAAUAUGGUUCUCAAAUGGAAGUAUGAAGAAAAGGUGAUGCACACGGAUUUCCACUUGUCUCCAAAAGGAAAGUUAAUGAAGAGAAAAGUCUGACCGCUAGAAAGAAAAGACAGUUUUACGUUAGAAAAUGAGCAAUAGAGUUGUUUUAUAAACUUAUUAACCAAAAUGACAUAUUAAAACUGUUAGGACUGUAAUAAAAUUAUCCGAGUCUAUUAUAUUGAUUACCAUAUUUUUUGUUACUAGUUAAAUAUUUAUAAAUCUGUUUUGAGUAAAAAAAAGCAUUGAAUACUUGUCGUUAUUCAUUUAUGUUAUGCUAGCUGCAUACCGCGGCUUUCCCUAUGUGAAUUAGGAUAAAAAUUAUAAUAAUAAUUUUUAUUUCUAUACGUUCAAUGUGUUAAACUUCAUGCAAAUACGUUCAGAUGUCUAAAUGUGAUAUUGAGUAAAAAUUUUAAUAUUUAAACAUCUUUAAUACUUUAUCCCGAACUUGCAUAUUUGUAAUACUAGUAGAUUGUAAGAUUAUCAGUGCUUUCUUUACUGCAACUGUGUAUUGUAACUUUAUUGAAUGUGUGUGUAACUCUAACGUCAAACUACUAAAUACGCUAAAUAUAAUAGGUUCGUAUUUAUAUCUUGACAGAUUUAGAAUAUACAAUUCUCGAAUAGAGAAAACAUUGAAUAAAAUAAAGGCAUACAACUUG
This is a long non-coding RNA of Galleria mellonella (greater wax moth), 1025 nucleotides long. RefSeq lists it as uncharacterized. The transcript has 2 exons. The record is from RefSeq and is a predicted model, not a curated record. Lineage: Eukaryota; Metazoa; Arthropoda; Insecta; Lepidoptera; Pyralidae.